CUAGGGAUAUGACCAAAUUAGUAAAGUGCUUGCCUUGCAAGCACAAGGCCCUGGGUUCAAACCCCAGCCCUACA
Molecule: transfer RNA, 74 nt
Filed under: Marmota monax (woodchuck)
Lineage: Eukaryota; Metazoa; Chordata; Mammalia; Rodentia; Sciuridae
Description: tRNA.Ala
Rfam family: tRNA
About the family: Transfer RNA (tRNA) molecules are approximately 80 nucleotides in length. Their secondary structure includes four short double-helical elements and three loops (D, anti-codon, and T loops).
Source: RNAcentral